RNAcentral lists this transfer RNA (76 nucleotides) under Terriglobia bacterium. RNAcentral describes it as "tRNA-Ala". It matches the Rfam family "tRNA". From Rfam's summary of the family: Transfer RNA (tRNA) molecules are approximately 80 nucleotides in length. Their secondary structure includes four short double-helical elements and three loops (D, anti-codon, and T loops). Further hydrogen bonds mediate the characteristic L-shaped molecular structure. tRNAs have two regions of fundamental functional importance: the anti-codon, which is responsible for specific mRNA codon recognition, and the 3' end, to which the tRNAs corresponding amino acid is attached (by aminoacyl-tRNA synthetases). tRNAs cope with the degeneracy of the genetic code in two manners: having more than one tRNA (with a specific anti-codon) for a particular amino acid; and 'wobble' base-pairing, i.e. permitting non-standard base-pairing at the 3rd anti-codon position. Lineage: Bacteria; Pseudomonadati; Acidobacteriota; Terriglobia. RNAcentral also lists the same sequence under 2 other names. The record is from RNAcentral.
GGGCCUGUAGCUCAGCUGGGAGAGCGCAUCGUUCGCAACGAUGAGGUCACCGGUUCGAUCCCGGUCAGGUCCACCA